Molecule: transfer RNA, 76 nt
Filed under: Chloroflexota bacterium
Lineage: Bacteria; Bacillati; Chloroflexota
Also listed under: 1 other name
Description: Chloroflexi bacterium tRNA-Val
Rfam family: tRNA
About the family: Transfer RNA (tRNA) molecules are approximately 80 nucleotides in length. Their secondary structure includes four short double-helical elements and three loops (D, anti-codon, and T loops). Further hydrogen bonds mediate the characteristic L-shaped molecular structure. tRNAs have two regions of fundamental functional importance: the anti-codon, which is responsible for specific mRNA codon recognition, and the 3' end, to which the tRNAs corresponding amino acid is attached (by aminoacyl-tRNA synthetases). tRNAs cope with the degeneracy of the genetic code in two manners: having more than one tRNA (with a specific anti-codon) for a particular amino acid; and 'wobble' base-pairing, i.e. permitting non-standard base-pairing at the 3rd anti-codon position.
Source: RNAcentral
GGGCGCGUAGCUCAGUUGGUAGAGCGCGCGGCUUACAUCCGCGUGGUCACAGGUUCGAGUCCUGUCGCGCCCACCA